AUCCAGUUGACGAGUCCCAAAACAAGACAAAACGCUUGUCCUGGAU
This 46-nucleotide non-coding RNA is filed under the name Schistosoma curassoni. Lineage: Eukaryota; Metazoa; Platyhelminthes; Trematoda; Strigeidida; Schistosomatidae. The record is from RNAcentral.